Molecule: ribosomal RNA, 760 nt
Filed under: Aquamicrobium sp.
Lineage: Bacteria; Pseudomonadati; Pseudomonadota; Alphaproteobacteria; Hyphomicrobiales; Phyllobacteriaceae
Description: bacterial SSU rRNA
Rfam family: Bacterial small subunit ribosomal RNA
Source: RNAcentral
CUUGCAGGGAGCGGCAGACGGGUGAGUAACGCGUGGGAAUCUACCCAGCUCUACGGAAUAACACAGGGAAACUUGUGCUAAUACCGUAUACGUCCUCCGGGAGAAAGAUUUAUCGGAGUUGGAUGAGCCCGCGUUAGAUUAGCUAGUUGGUGGGGUAAUGGCCUACCAAGGCGACGAUCUAUAGCUGGUCUGAGAGGAUGAUCAGCCACACUGGGACUGAGACACGGCCCAGACUCCUACGGGAGGCAGCAGUGGGGAAUAUUGGACAAUGGGCGCAAGCCUGAUCCAGCCAUGCCGCGUGAGUGAUGAAGGCCUUAGGGUUGUAAAGCUCUUUCAACGGUGAAGAUAAUGACGGUAGCCGUAGAAGAAGCCCCGGCUAACUUCGUGCCAGCAGCCGCGGUAAUACGAAGGGGGCUAGCGUUGUUCGGAAUUACUGGGCGUAAAGCGCGCGUAGGCGGACUGAUCAGUUGGGGGUGAAAUCCCGGGGCUCAACCCCGGAACUGCCUUCAAUACUGUCAGUCUAGAGGUCGAGAGAGGUGAGUGGAAUUCCGAGUGUAGAGGUGAAAUUCGUAGAUAUUCGGAGGAACACCAGUGGCGAAGGCGGCUCACUGGCUCGAUACUGACGCUGAGGUGCGAAAGUGUGGGGAGCAAACAGGAUUAGAUACCCUGGUAGUCCACACCGUAAACGAUGGAAGCUAGCCGUUGGAUAGUAUACUAUUCAGUGGCGCAGUUAACGCAUUAAGCUUCCCGCCUGGGGAGU